UGAUUGGUAACUCAGUUGGUUAGAGUGCUUGACUAUUAAUCAAGAAGUCGUGAGUUCGAAUCUCACCCAAUCAG
This 74-nucleotide transfer RNA is filed under the name Lactococcus phage phiL47. RNAcentral's name for it is "tRNA-Asn". It matches the Rfam family "tRNA". From Rfam's summary of the family: Transfer RNA (tRNA) molecules are approximately 80 nucleotides in length. Their secondary structure includes four short double-helical elements and three loops (D, anti-codon, and T loops). Further hydrogen bonds mediate the characteristic L-shaped molecular structure. tRNAs have two regions of fundamental functional importance: the anti-codon, which is responsible for specific mRNA codon recognition, and the 3' end, to which the tRNAs corresponding amino acid is attached (by aminoacyl-tRNA synthetases). tRNAs cope with the degeneracy of the genetic code in two manners: having more than one tRNA (with a specific anti-codon) for a particular amino acid; and 'wobble' base-pairing, i.e. permitting non-standard base-pairing at the 3rd anti-codon position. The record is from RNAcentral. Lineage: Duplodnaviria; Heunggongvirae; Uroviricota; Caudoviricetes.